GAGGGCAUAGCUCAGUCGUAGAGCGCAUGCUUAGCAUGCACGAGGUCCUGGGUUCAAUCCCCGGCACCCUCA
RNAcentral lists this transfer RNA (72 nucleotides) under Camelus bactrianus (Bactrian camel). It matches the Rfam family "tRNA". Rfam says of the family: Transfer RNA (tRNA) molecules are approximately 80 nucleotides in length. Their secondary structure includes four short double-helical elements and three loops (D, anti-codon, and T loops). RNAcentral also lists the same sequence under 2 other names. The record is from Rfam by way of RNAcentral. Lineage: Eukaryota; Metazoa; Chordata; Mammalia; Artiodactyla; Camelidae.